RNAcentral lists this small RNA (643 nucleotides) under Vigna angularis var. angularis. Its description in RNAcentral is "Non-protein coding transcript". Lineage: Eukaryota; Viridiplantae; Streptophyta; Magnoliopsida; Fabales; Fabaceae. The record is from RNAcentral.
GAAAUAUUGAUUUAGAAUAGUGAAUAUACUUGUAUGCGUAUGAGUCGAAAGUAUUAAUACUAUGUACAUAAAUUUGAUCUAUACAACCUACAUGAUCCCUGUAAAAAGAUAUACAAUUUGAUGAUGGGAAAUGAUCCUUAUGCAAUCAAAAAGAAAAGAGAGACCCUAUUCUCAAUCCAAUCUUUUACCUAUUGCCAUUACCAUUCUCUUUAGUUGGCCUUUCAUCUUGAAUUUCUUCUAAGUCUUCAAACUCAGGUCCUUUACCAGCUUGCUGUUUCCAAUAUGCAACCAACUUCUUCAGCCUUGCUAUCUCCUUUGAAGAAACAUUCUUGCUGGGGUCAUUCACAAUGGAUCUUACUCGGGAUGCAUACAUGAGAGAGUUAUGUGUCUCAUCCAAAUUUGAUUCUGCUGGAGAAACAUUCACAAACAUCAGAGUUUUGGCAUUACCACCGAGUGAAUCACUCAUCAACAUGGUUAACUUGUGAUUCCUGUAUGGUGUGUGUUGACCACCAGAAGACAAAGCACUGAUAACAUCUGCAAGUGCUGAUAAUGACUUGUUAAUGCUUUGAGCUUCCUUCAGCUGACUCCCCGUAGAACCUGACUUUUUCACUCGUUCUGAACCAGCAAGGUCCACAAAACUCAG